Molecule: ribosomal RNA, 498 nt
Filed under: uncultured bacterium
Lineage: Bacteria
Description: bacterial SSU rRNA
Rfam family: Bacterial small subunit ribosomal RNA
Source: RNAcentral
CAGGAUGAACGCUAGCGACAGGCCUAACACAUGCAAGUCAGGGGCAGCACAAGGAGCAAUCUGAGGUGGCGACCGGCGCACGGGUGAGUAACACGUAUGCAACCUGCCUGUAAGCGGGGAAUAACCCGUUGAAAGACGGACUAAUACCGCAUAAUACUAAAUUACUGCAUGGUAAUUUAUUUAAACAUUUAUGGCUUACAGAUGGGCAUGCGCAUGAUUAGCUAGUUGGAGAGGUAACGGCUCCCCAAGGCAACGAUCAUUAGGGGUUCUGAGAGGAAGGUCCCCCACACUGGUACUGAGACACGGACCAGACUCCUACGGGAGGCAGCAGUGAGGAAUAUUGGUCAAUGGACGAGAGUCUGAACCAGCCAAGUCGCGUGCAGGAAGAAUGUCCCUAUGGAUUGUAAACUGCUUUUGCAGGGGAAUAAAGUGCAUCACGUGUGAUGUUUUGUAUGUACUCUGCGAAUAAGGAUCGGCUAACUCCGUGCCAGCCGCCGC